RNAcentral lists this transfer RNA (75 nucleotides) under Paucimonas sp. Its description in RNAcentral is "tRNA-OTHER". Lineage: Bacteria; Pseudomonadati; Pseudomonadota; Betaproteobacteria; Burkholderiales; Burkholderiaceae. The record is from RNAcentral.
CAGCAUGUUAUGAUGGUUUCAGCAGCCACCUUGACAUGGUGGGGGUCGUUGGUUCGAGUCCAAUUGUGCCUACCA